UUUUAGAUUCAACAAAGAUGGCGGACGCCUGGUGGAAAAUCCAGCCAAAUACUGCCAAGAUUCUACUUAGAACUCAAUAACUACUUCGGAAUAAGACGGCUUUAUUGACUUAGAGUAUCAAUGUGACUCAAGCCAUGUCGAUCAUGGCUCCGAAUUGUGAGUGGGGGUGGCAAUGUGCGACAAAACAGACAGUAAUUCCAUUACAAAUCACCAACUCUGCCAAGUUAGGCUCUCGAUCUAGUCAAUCUAGCCUCUGGAGGUAAAACGCCAGCGAACUUUGUGGCACUUGAGGGUCAGUGCAUGUUAGUGAAAUGUCAAAUCUAUCCUCUAGUAUAGCUGAUCCACUCGGGGAACCAAGUAGUGGAGCUAAAUGGCUUUUGGCAGCUUCUACACUGAGGCAGCUUCUAUAUUUCCUUGCGUCGUGGUAUUGUACGUUUGGUUCCCCCUUGCAAUAGCUGUGACAUGUAAAGAUAUCCAUGGAGUACUUAGGGGGGAAUUGCUGUCCAAUCGAUAACUGUCACGUUAUUUGGAUCUGGAAAACAUGACGAAGAGGAUUGUUUCAAGUCCUUGUAUGAUAAUGGGAGUGCUUUGGAGUUAAUUGAGUUAGGUGAGCAGUUCUGGAUAGGUUUUUUUUAGCUUUAUUGUAUGAGGCUAUUGUUCUUGGUGCACAUCCAAAUCUAGUCAGAAGGCCACUGUUGAGGGCAGAUCUUGGCAGUCCAUGCAGGUGGAGGUACAAACCAAGAUCCUUCAGUAAUUUACUAGUUUUCUGAGACCUGAAAACAAGAAUAUGCUAGACAUUUAAAUAAAAUGAAUACUAACACUGCCCUCAAAUGUAUUUGAAAAAUCAAAAUUCAUUUGUUUAGAGAGUACAUUUAAUGCCAUAUUCUAAUGGAAUAUUACUGGUAUUUUCAGUCAUGGAAUCACUUAAAGUAUAACAUACCUAAAGUAAGCCAAAGUGUGUAACAGAGUAACAGUGCGCUGCUCUUGUAGGGCGGAAUGCUUGCAUCUGGUCAUGGUUUAGAAUUGUUGAAUAUAGCCCUGGUACAUACUUUUUGGCAAAGUCUCUCGUGGUUGCUGGGUCAUAGAGUGGUGCUGAGUCAGCAUCAUAGUGCCGAAACAAUGCAAUUUGGAAUUUUCCUACUUGUUCGUCAAAUGUCUCAUCUGAUGAUAAAAA
This is a long non-coding RNA of Nematostella vectensis (starlet sea anemone), 1174 nucleotides long. RefSeq lists it as uncharacterized. Lineage: Eukaryota; Metazoa; Cnidaria; Anthozoa; Actiniaria; Edwardsiidae. The transcript is spliced from 2 exons. The record is from RefSeq and is a predicted model, not a curated record.